This 432-nucleotide ribosomal RNA is filed under the name uncultured bacterium. RNAcentral's name for it is "bacterial SSU rRNA". It matches the Rfam family "Bacterial small subunit ribosomal RNA", at positions 32 to 507 of the family's 1533-position model. The record is from RNAcentral.
AACGCUGGCGGUGUGCUUCACACAUGCAAGUCGAACGAGGUAGCAAUACCUAGUGGCGGACGGGUGAGUAACGCGUGGGAAUCUGCCUUUAGAUGGGGGAUAACGGGUCGAAAGACUCGCUAAUACCGCAUAUGACGAAAGUUGAAAGGAGUAAUCCGUCUAAAGAUGAGCCCGCGUCCGAUCAGCUAGUUGGUAGAGUAAAAGCCUACCAAGGCGACGAUCGGUAGCUGGUCUGAGAGGAUGAUCAGCCACAAUGGGACUGAGACACGGCCCAUACUCCUACGGGAGGCAGCAGUGGGGAAUUUUACGCAAUGGGCGAAAGCCUGACGUAGCGACACCGCGUGAGCGAAGAAGCCCCUUGGGGUGUAAAGCCCUGUCAGCUGGAACGAAAAAAUGACGGUACCAGCAGAGGAAGCAUCGGCUAACUACGUG